AACGAACGCUGGCGGCGUGCUUAACACAUGCAAGUCGAGCGCGAAAGGGGGGUUCGCCCCCCGAGUAGAGCGGCAGACGGGUGAGUAACACGUGGGUAACCUGCCUCUGGGUGUGGAAUAACUACUCGAAAGGGUGGCUAAUACCGCAUAAGACCACGUCUCCUCGGAGAUGCGGUAAAAGGAGCAAUUCGCCUGGCGAGGGGCCCGCGUCCGAUUAGCUUGUUGGUGAGGUAAAGGCUCACCAAGGCGACGAUCGGUAGCUGGUCUGAGAGGAUGAUCAGCCACACUGGUACUUAGACACGGACCAGACUCCUACGGGAGGCAGCAGUGGGGAUAUUGCGCAAUGGGCGAAAGCCUGACGCAGCAACGCCGCGUGGGUGAAGAAGGCCUUCGGGUCGUAAAACCCUGUCAGAUGGGAAGAAACCUGGGAAACCAGCUGACGGUACCAUCAGAGGAAGCACCGGCUAACUCCGUGCCAGCCGCCGCAGUAA
Molecule: ribosomal RNA, 491 nt
Filed under: uncultured bacterium
Lineage: Bacteria
Description: partial 16S ribosomal RNA
Rfam family: Bacterial small subunit ribosomal RNA
Source: RNAcentral